ACUAGCUUAAGGGUUUAUCUACACUACAGGGGCUGUAGCCAUAUAGCUGCAGUGCUGUUGCAACCUCAUAAUAUAGAGGCAGUCUACAGAGACAGAAGGGUUUUUUCCAUGGCUAUAGGUAAACCAACUCCCUAAGCAAUGGUAGAUCAGUUAACAGAAGCAUUCUUGAUUCUUCCAUCAUCCUAGCUGUGUCUAUACCGGGGCUUAGGUUGACAUAGCUACGGUGCUCAGAGGUACAGACCAGGCCUAUUGUGUCAUGUCCCUUUCCAGUGGCUUAACCACUUAGGGGGAGAUUUUCAUAGGUGCAAAUUGCAGUUAGGCACCUAACAUCCAUGUCUUUGAAAAUUUAGCUGAUUGAGGAUAAAAACCUACUAUUGCUUCCAGCUAACAGAGUUGCUCCUUCAGCUCAACUGGUACAAGCCUGCAUUGUGGAGGGAUCAUGUUGUGUAGCUUUUCUCCCCAACAACGGAAGAUAGGAUCUGACUUUGUUUUUAAAUGGAAGCUGAGUCUCACGUAAACACCUGACUCCAGGAGCUGAGGAUUUUAAAAAGCACCAAAUAUCACAAAACAAUAAAAUUAUGCAGCCAACAUUGUAUCAAUUACAAAUCUGAAAAACAGCAGUGCCUCCACCUUAGUAUUCAGGUUUGAAUCUCAAGGCAAAAACUAUCCAGGAUUUGAAUUUCAAGGUAAAAGCUAUCCAGGAAGAAGCAGUCUGUGUGAAGAUGCAAGGAAGUGAGAGAGCUGUGUCAAAAGUUGAAAACAAACCUAACAAAUUCAGCUCAGCUUGCAAGGUUGUAGUGUAAAGCUUUUCACUGAAGACACAAAAUGAGGACGUAAAACCAAAAAUGCAUUCUCACGCUCCCCCUGCCCCAUCCUUCCAUCAGCACAACAGCUUUAGCAAAAAAUAAUAUUUGUCAAAUCUAAUCAGCAGCAUCAAGACAUAUUAAAU
Molecule: long non-coding RNA, 949 nt
Organism: Chelonia mydas (Green sea turtle)
Lineage: Eukaryota; Metazoa; Chordata; Testudines; Cheloniidae
Exons: 3
Source: RefSeq, a predicted model, not a curated record